AUAAGAAUUGUCACAGGUAGAGUUUUUUAUAGCCCUAGUAUCCUAAGUGAUGUGAUGGUUCAAGUUUUUAUUUUCCUUUAGAAAUGAAUAAUCUGAAACAUUGUUUUCACUCCGUGUGUCUACAGGGGAGAAUUUCACAAUCUGAAGAAUCAAAAAACAGCUUCGCACUGCCAAUACCUGCAUUUGAAAUAUGUGAUGGCAGUUUGGAGAAAACCAGUGUACAGAUCAUAGCACACAUUUAUUUUGUAGUGAUACACUUGAAAACCAAAAUCAUGUGUAGCAUAAAGUGGGCAAUCUUGCAGAAAUUAUGUAAAACUUCCCAUUGUAUGUGCAAUAAAUUAUGUUCCAGAUUGGUCUGUCUUCAUCUUGCCUCUGGGAUUCUCUUGGAUGGGUUUAUUCUGUUCUGUGCUUGGACUUCUCAGUCAUUUGACUUCUCUUAACGGCCUGUGCCAUUUAUUUGGAAUGGGAAUAAGGUAGGCCACAGAUAAUUAUUUAUUAUUCAUUCUUUGGAUAUUUUCAAAAUUUUGUGUGGGGGCCACAACUCUGCCUAAUCCUUCUGCCUAAUCAUUCAAUUUUUCUGCCAAAGGCUUCAUAUAAGAAAUUAUUCUAUUGUUUUAUCCCCUUGCUUAGGAUCACAAUAUUCAUGGAGUCUUUGCCACUUGUUACAGUGAACAUGUAGAUUUUUUGUUGUUCAUUUCUUAGCUCAACCACUUAUUUUCUCCAGAAUUUGUGCUGUUCAUUUCUUAGCCACUUAUUUUCCUUUUUUUGAACAGUCAAGUCUUGUGGUUUUUGUUUGUUUAUUUGUUUUCCUUCAUCUUCCUCCCCUCCCCCUCCCCCUUUGAUUUGUUCUAUAGAGCUGUUCAGUUCUUAGUUUCACCUUUGAAAUUCAAAUAGAGAUCCAGUUUUCUUAAUGAUCAUUCUGUACAUGCUUAUGAUUGCUCUUACCUAAUUUCCAAAUAACUGGGUAUAUAUUUUGAAGUCAGCAACUCCCUUCUUAAUGUCAUGGUCAAGGCCACAUAGACACUGAGCAUCUGCCCCCAUCAAGUUAGAUAUUCACUGAGGAAGAACCACCAUGUUAUAUAUUCAAUAUCACAGAGCAAUGUGGAUUCAGGCCACUGUGGGUACAAUAGUGUACAGGCAUUAUAUAAUUCUGAGCAACUCUGGCCACAGGAGGAAUAGGAAUAUACAGUGAAUUUAGGUGUUUAUAUCAAGGUGCUGGUAUUGGUCAGGAGACAUAUACAUGUAUGAUAUAAAUUCUCAGGUGUUAAAGUCCAUGGAACAGAAGGAUGUGUUUCCCUAAAACAGACUUCAUGUUGGAAUUUAUCAUUUCUAUUUAUUGUAUACUGAUGGUUGACUACACUGAAACUAUCCUAAGGGAACUAAACUUAAAGGAAUUUAUU
Molecule: long non-coding RNA, 1400 nt
Filed under: Anas platyrhynchos platyrhynchos (common mallard)
Lineage: Eukaryota; Metazoa; Chordata; Aves; Anseriformes; Anatidae
Description: lncRNA (ENSAPLG00000022755.1)
Source: RNAcentral